Molecule: ribosomal RNA, 301 nt
Filed under: uncultured bacterium
Lineage: Bacteria
Description: partial 16S ribosomal RNA
Rfam family: Bacterial small subunit ribosomal RNA
Source: RNAcentral
CAGUCGCCGCGGGAAUACGGAGGGAGCUAGCGUUGUUCGGAAUUACUGGGCGUAAAGCGCACGUAGGCGGCUUUGUAAGUUAGAGGUGAAAGCCUGGAGCUCAACUCCAGAAUUGCCUUUAAGACUGCAUCGCUUGAAUCCAGGAGAGGUGAGUGGAAUUCCGAGUGUAGAGGUGAAAUUCGUAGAUAUUCGGAAGAACACCAGUGGCGAAGGCGACUGACUGGACAAGUAUUGACGCUGAGGUGCGAAAGCGUGGGGAGCAAACAGGAUUAGAUACCCGCGUAGUCCCUGUCUCUUAUAC